RNAcentral lists this ribosomal RNA (271 nucleotides) under uncultured Sphingobacteriales bacterium. RNAcentral describes it as "partial 16S ribosomal RNA". It matches the Rfam family "Bacterial small subunit ribosomal RNA", at positions 1114 to 1382 of the family's 1533-position model. The record is from RNAcentral. Lineage: Bacteria; Pseudomonadati; Bacteroidota; Sphingobacteriia; Sphingobacteriales.
GUUGCCAUCAGGUAAUGCUGGGGACUCUAAAGGAACGUGCCUACGCAAGUAGUGAGGAAGGCGGGGAGUGACGUCAAAUCAGCACGGCCCUUACGUCCAGGGCUACACACGUGCUACAAUGGCCGAUACAGAGGGCAGCUACCUGGUGACAGGAUGCAAAUCUCCAAAGUCGGUCUCAGCUCGGAUCGGAGUCUGCAACCCGACUCCGUGAAGUUGGAUUCGCUAGUAAUCGCGCAUCAGCCAUGGCGCGGUGAAUACGUUCCCGGGCCUU